AGAAUCAACGCUGGCGGCGUGCCUAACACAUGCAAGUCGAACGAGAAAGUGGAGCAAUCCAUGAGUAAAGUGGCGCACGGGUGAGUAACACGUGACUAACCUACCCUUGAGUGGGGGAUAACCUAGAGAAAUCUGGGCUAAUACCGCAUAAUACCUUCGGGUCAAAGGAGCAAUUCGCUUAAGGAGGGGGUCGCGGCCGAUUAGUUAGUUGGCGGGGUAAUGGCCCACCAAGACUGUGAUCGGUAUCCGGCCUGAGAGGGCGCACGGACACACUGGAACUGAAACACGGUCCAGACUCCUACGGGAGGCAGCAGUGGGGAAUUUUGCGCAAUGGGGGAAACCCUGACGCAGCAACGCCGCGUGGAGGAUGAAGCCCCUUGGGGCGUAAACUCCUUUCGAUCGGGAAGAUAAUGACGGUACCGAGAGAAGAAGCCCCGGCUAACGUUCGUGCCAGCAGCCGC
This 461-nucleotide ribosomal RNA is filed under the name uncultured bacterium. RNAcentral's name for it is "SSU rRNA". It matches the Rfam family "Bacterial small subunit ribosomal RNA", at positions 26 to 518 of the family's 1533-position model. The record is from RNAcentral.